AUGAAAAGGCAGAAGAAACCCUCAAUUCUAGAUGAAAUUGAAUAUGAUGAUUACCAGGAAGAUGAAUACAAUCAUCCCUCUAGACUUGGGAGUAAGCACUCAACAAAGUUGUCAACUAAUAAAAAUAAACCUCGCAAGAAAAGCCCUAGAGUUCCCACAAACCAGGAAAAAGCUCAAUAUGAGUAUUACCCUGAUAGAUCUCAUAGGAAAAGACCAAGAGAUUCCUCUAACCAAGAUGAAUCUGAAUAUGAGGGAACGCCCGGUGUUCCCUCAGAGCAGGAAGGACAGGAAGAUGAUGGUUUCCCGGACUAUGAUGGCCCCAGAGAUCUCUCAAACCCAGAUGCAUCCGAAGAUGCGGAUUACCCUGAAUCUGAAGAAUCUGCUGGCAAAGACGCAAGAAAUCUCUCUUCAGCUGAAAUACACACAGGAAAAAAGAAACGUCUCAAGAAAAGCGGUAGAGCUCCCUCAAAGCCAGACCAACCUGAAUAUGAGGAUGAUCCUGAAAGAACUCGUAGGAAAAGCCCUAGAGAUUCCUCUAACCAAGAUGAAUCAGAAUAUGAGGAUUACCUUGACUCCGAUGAAGUUGAAGAAAAACACCCAAGCGAUCCUUUCUCAAGUAAAAAGCUAAAGCGUAAAGAAAAACCUCGCAAGAAGGGUCCCGAAGGUUCCCCAUACCCAAAUGGACCUAACAAUGAGGAUAGCUCUGACCUAGGUGAAUUUGAAGAGCAAGGACCAAGACAUCCCUCCUCAAUAAAAUACCCCAAAAAUAAAAACAAACCACGUAAGGGAGCGCCCGGUGAUUCCUCAGAGCCAGAAGGACAGGAAGAUGAUAGUUUCCCUGACUCUGAUGGGCCCGGAUAUCCCUCAAACCCAGACGCACUCAAAGAUGAGGAUUACCUUGAAUCUGAAGAAUCUCCUGGGAAAGACCAAAGAGAUCCCUUUUCAACUAAAAAACGCCCAGGUAAAGAGAAACCACUCAAGAAAGGUCCCAAAGGUUACUCAGACCCAAAUAAAUUCAACAAUGAGGAUAUCUAUGACCCAGGUGCAUCUGGAGAACAAGGCCCUAGACAUCCCUCCUCAAUGAAAUACCCCAAAAAUAAAAACAAACCACGUAAGGGAGCGCCCGGUGAUUUCUCAGAGCCAGAAGGACAGGAAGAUGAUAGUUUCUCUGACUCUGAUGGGCCCGGAUAUCCCUCAAACCCAGAGGCACCCAAAGAUGAGGAUUACCUUGAAUCUGAAGAAUCUCCUGAGAAAGACCAAAGAAAUCCCAGUUCGACUAAAAAACGCCCAGGUAAAGAGAAACCACUCAAGAAAGGUCCCGAAGGUUCAAAUCCCGGGAGCAGAGUGAGCACCCGCUGUUAGCUCCAGCUUCUGCCAACCUAGCAGCUUGAAAACAUGCCAAUGUGAGUAGAUGAAUAGGUACCGCUCUGGCGGGAAGGUAAUGGCACUCCAUGUAGUCAUGCCGGCCACAUGACCUUGGAGGUGUCUAUGGACAACACUGGCUCCUGGGCUUAGAAAUGGAGGUGAGCACAACCCCCAGAGUCAGACAUGACUGAACUUAACGUCAAGGGAUACCUUUACACACACACAUAUGCAGGGACUACACCAAUUUAACAAAGUUUCAGCCACAAAAACAAAGUUUCUGAAGUAGAGCAAUGACUUUCACAGUAAAGACAACCCAAUUUAACAGGAAAUAAGACUUUCAAACCAGGAACAGAUUUCUGCAAUUAUUAAAAAAUGGUUUAUUAUAAAAGCUAUGAAAAUUUGCCAAAAAUCAGAGGAUAAGGGAAACGUUCCACAUUUUGGUGAGCUAUCAGUGUUAAAUGUGUUCUACCACUGUACCAGGUUUGAAGAAGAUCACUCAAAAAAUGAGGGCGGGAGAGCCCCCUAAGUCCCCCCCCUUCGGGCUGUUUUUGGGCCACCGCGCAUGCGCGUCUGCCAUUAACGAAUUAAUUUCGAAAAUAACGAAUUUUCGUUAAUUUCGAAAAAUUUUGGGGGCCAAAUUCGUUAUUAGCAACAAAAACGAAAAACUGCCCCCUCUAGUUUUGAAACGAGUUUAGAAUCAAAUUUUUCAUGGAUCGAUCAAGCCUAUUUUCUAGGGAAGGGCCUUGUUGACUCCCAGGUAAAAAGGGCAGCCAAGUCAGAAAUGGGGACUGACUCACAACUGACUCAUGCUCAGCUUCUGGUCCCCAAAAGCAGGAUCUACACUGCCAGUGUAGAUAAUCUACACUGAUUAUCUAGUCAAAUAAUCCAGAUUAUCUGAUUUGAGCUAGAUUAUAUGAGUUUACAUUCCCAUAUAAUCCUGUUCAAAGCAAAUUAAUAACUCCAGGUUAAUAACUGGAGCAGCGUACAGGGAGCGUACCACUCCUCUGUUACACCAGCUCCACUGGCUGCCGAAUAGCUACCGAGCACAAUUCAAGGUGCUGGCUUUAGCCUAUAAAGCUCUAAACAGUUCUGGCCCAGCUUAUCUGUCCAAACUUAUCCCCUGCUACAAGCCGAGGCUUUUCAAAGCUAUUUUGCUGACAAGAUCUCACUACUACGCCGGGACCUCCCCGCCACAACUGAUACAAUGAGAGAACUUGAGACUCCGUGGCCACUUGCUGGGCCCACCCUCGACCAGUUCAUCCCACUGGACGCAGAGGCUGUCGAUAGGCUCAUAGCUGCAGCUAGACCGACCACUUGCUCCCUCGAUCCGUGUCCCUCUUGGUUGGUGAAAUCCUGCUUGGAGGGAUUACGUGACUCGCUGCUGAAGAUAAUAAACAGCUCCCUUGAGCAAGGAGUCUUUCCAGAAGGAUUAAAAGAGGCGGUGGUCUCUGCUGAAAAAACCAGAUUUAGAUCGUUCGGUUCCCUCCAGCUACCGCCCAGUUUCAAAUCUUUCAUUUCUGGGCAAGGUGAUUGAGAGGGCAGUAGCGGUGCAGCUGCAGCAGUUCCUAGACGACACAGCCGGACUGGAUCCUUUCCAGUCUGGCUUCCGUGCGGGGCAUGGGACAGAGACUGUAUUGGUUUCCAUCACAGAUCAUCUCCGAUGCCAGCUUGACCGGGGCGGGUCGGUGUUGCUUGUGUUAUUGGAUCUCACAGCAGCAUUUGACACAGUCGAUCACAAUCUUCUGACCCACCGCCUUGCCGUUGCUGGAGUUAGGGGGACAGCUUUAAAUUGGCUGGCCUCCUUUCUUCACAACCGUGGACAGCGAGUGGAGAGGGGAGGCCUGGUCUCUGAGAGGUCCCCUCUACAUUGUGGGGUUCCUCAGGGGGCCAUUCUCUCCCCUCUGUUGUUUAACAACUAUAUGCAACCACUUGCUCAGCUGGUCCGAGAUUUCGGGCUCGAGUGUUAUCAAUAUGCUGACGACACUCAGCUUGUGUUAAAGAUGGAAGGCCAACCGGAGUCUGUACCCGACAGUUUUCACCAGUGCCUCGAGGCCAUUAUUGGAUGGUUGCGUUCCAGUAGGUUGAGGGUGAAUCCAGCAAAGACAGAGAUCCUAUGGCUGGGCCGACCGGGCAGUGGGGAUAUCCAGUUGCCAACCCUGGAUGGCGAAGUGCUAUGCCCGUCUUCACUAGUAAAGAGUCUGGGAGUCCUCUUGGACCCUUCAUUGACGAUGGAGGUCCAGGUCUCCGCCGUUACCAAAACUGCCUUUUUUCAUCUUCGGCAGGCUAGACGGCUAGCCCCCUAUCUAUCUAGGGACAACCUGGCUACAGUGAUCCAGGCUACAGUCAUCUCGAGACUGGACUACUGUAAUGCCCUUUACAUUGGCCUUCCUGUAUCGGUGAUCCGGAAGCUCAAAUUGGUGCAAAAUGCAGCUGCCCGGCUCCUUGCGGGAGUCCCGAUAAGAUGCCACAUAACACCAAUCUUAUGGCAGCUGCACUGGUUACCAAUUGAGCACCGGAUCACUUUCAAAGUGAUGGUGCUUACUUUCAAGGCCUUACAUGGUCUGGGGCCGAUGUACCUGAGGGACCGCCUCACCCCCUACAAACCCCAGAGAACCCUCCGUUCUGAGGACCAAGACCUACUGGAAGUCCCCAGUUUUAAGACCUUGCGUCUAACUGCAACUUGACGCAGAGCCUUUUCAGCAGUGGCGCCAUCUCUGUGGAACACCUUGCCACCUGAAGUUCGUGCCUUGCGGGACUUGUUG
Anolis carolinensis (green anole) is the source of this 4127-nucleotide long non-coding RNA. The record is from Ensembl. Lineage: Eukaryota; Metazoa; Chordata; Lepidosauria; Squamata; Anolidae.